UACGUAGGGUGCAAGCGUUGUCCGGAAUUAUUGGGCGUAAAGAGCUCGUAGGCGGUUUGUCGCGUCUGGUGUGAAAUCUCAAGGCUCAACCUUGAGCUUGCAUUGGGUACGGCCAGACUAGAGUGUGGUAGGGGUGACUGGAAUUCCUGGUGUAGCGGUGGAAUGCGCAGAUAUCAGGAGGAACACCGAUGGCGAAGGCAGGUCACUGGGCCACUACUGACGCUGAGGUGCGAAAGCGUGGGGAGCGAACAGG
Molecule: ribosomal RNA, 253 nt
Filed under: uncultured bacterium
Lineage: Bacteria
Description: partial 16S ribosomal RNA
Rfam family: Bacterial small subunit ribosomal RNA
Source: RNAcentral